GAUGAACGCUGGCGGCGUGCCUAAUACAUGCAAGUCGAGCGAACAGACGAGGAGCUUGCUUCUCUGACGUUAGCGGCGGACGGGUGAGUAACACGUGGAUAACCUACCUAUAAGACUGGGAUAACUUCGGGAAACCGGAGCUAAUACCGGAUGAUAUUUUGAACCGCAUGGUUCAAUAGUGAAAGACGGUCUUGCUGUCACUUAUAGAUGGAUCCGCGCCGCAUUAGCUAGUUGGUAAGGUAACGGCUUACCAAGGCAACGAUGCGUAGCCGACCGGAGAGGGUGAUCGGCCACACUGGAACUGAGACACGAUCCAGACUCCUACGGGAGGCAGCAGUAGGGAAUCUUCCGCAAUGGGCGAAAGCCUGACGGAGCAACGCCGCGUGAGUGAUGAAGGUCUUCGGAUCGUAAAACUCUGUUAUUAGGGAAGAACAUAUGUGUAAGUAACUAUGCACGUCUUGACGGUACCUAAUCAGAAAGCCACGGCUAACUACGUG
RNAcentral lists this ribosomal RNA (497 nucleotides) under uncultured bacterium. RNAcentral's name for it is "partial 16S ribosomal RNA". It matches the Rfam family "Bacterial small subunit ribosomal RNA", at positions 28 to 507 of the family's 1533-position model. The record is from RNAcentral.